CCUACGGGAGGCAGCAGUAGGGAAUCUUCCACAAUGGACGAAAGUCUGAUGCAGCAACGCCGCGUGAGUGAAGAAGGGUUUCGGCUCGUAAAGCUCUGUUGGUAGUGAAGAAAGAUAGAGGUAGUAACUGGCCUUUAUUUGACGGUAAUUACUUAGAAAGUCACGGCUAACUACGUGCCAGCAGCCGCGGUAAUACGUAGGUGGCAAGCGUUGUCCGGAUUUAUUGGGGGUAAAGCGAGUGCAGGCGGUUCAAUAAGUCUGAUGUGAAAGCCUUCGGCUCAACCGGAGAAUUGCAUCCGAAACUGUUGAACUGGAGUGCAGAAGAGGAGAGUGGAACUCCAUGUGUAGCGGUGGAAUGCGUAGAUAUAUGGAAGAACACCAGUGGCGAAGGCGGCUUUCUGGUCUGCAACUGACGCUGAGGCUCGAAAGCAUGGGUAGCGAACAGGAUUAGAUACCCCAGUAGUC
This 465-nucleotide ribosomal RNA is filed under the name uncultured bacterium. RNAcentral's name for it is "partial 16S ribosomal RNA". It matches the Rfam family "Bacterial small subunit ribosomal RNA", at positions 338 to 795 of the family's 1533-position model. The record is from RNAcentral.